This 253-nucleotide ribosomal RNA is filed under the name uncultured bacterium. RNAcentral's name for it is "partial 16S ribosomal RNA". It matches the Rfam family "Bacterial small subunit ribosomal RNA", at positions 524 to 776 of the family's 1533-position model. The record is from RNAcentral.
UACGUAGGGACCAAGCGUUGUUCGGAUUUACUGGGCGUAAAGGGCGCGUAGGCGGCGUGACAAGUCACUUGUGAAAUCUCUGAGCUUAACUCAGAACGGCCAAGUGAAACUGUCGUGCUAGAGUGCAGAAGGGGCAAUCGGAAUUCUUGGUGUAGCGGUGAAAUGCGUAGAUAUCAAGAGGAACACCUGAGGUGAAGACGGGUUGCUGGGCUGACACUGACGCUGAUGCGCGAAAGCGUGGGGAGCAAACAGG